ACCUCUUUUACUAUUUUUUCCAUUCAGGUUUUAAUCAAUGGGCUACAACAGUUUGCCUCCUUAAACGUGAAGCCAAAGUUACAGAUUGUUGAAACUUUCAUCAAGGCUUAUUAUCUCCCUGAGACUGAAUACGUACACUGGGCACGAGCUCACCCCGAAUUCAGCAAGGAUCAGAUCGCGGGAUUGAUAAACCUCGUUGCUUCAAUUAAAGGUUGGAAAAGAAAAACCAG
This is a long non-coding RNA of Hibiscus syriacus, 230 nucleotides long. RefSeq lists it as uncharacterized. The record is from RefSeq and is a predicted model, not a curated record. The transcript has 3 exons. NCBI's taxonomy places the organism in Eukaryota, Viridiplantae, Streptophyta, Magnoliopsida, Malvales, Malvaceae.